Stegastes partitus (bicolor damselfish) is the source of this 97-nucleotide long non-coding RNA. RefSeq lists it as uncharacterized. The transcript is spliced from 3 exons. Lineage: Eukaryota; Metazoa; Chordata; Actinopteri; Pomacentridae. The record is from RefSeq and is a predicted model, not a curated record.
AAAUCACGGCAGCAGAGUAUAGAGAAGUCCUGGAGGACGACCUGGUGCAGUCAGCAAGGGAACUGUAACUUGGGAAAAGAUUUGUUUCCAGCCAGAG